CGAGCACGCGCGUGUGGCAUAUCAAUAAGCGGAGGAAAAGAAACUAACAAGGAUUCCCUUAGUAACGGCGAGUGAAGCGGGAAGAGCUCAAAUUUGAAAUCUUCAAGGUUCUACCUUGACGAAUUGUAGUUUAUAGAAGUGUUUUCUGUUAGUAGGAGUGGCAAAAGUUCUUUGGAAUAGGACAUCAUAGAGGGUGAGAAUCCCGUAUUUGGUCAUUCUUCUAGCGUUGUGAUACACUUUCAACGAGUCGGAUUGUUUGGGAAUGCAGUCCAAAAUGGGUGGUAAAUUUCAUCUAAAGCUAAAUAUUGGCGAGAGACCGAUAGCGAACAAGUACCGUGAGGGAAAGAUGAAAAGAACUUUGAAAAGAGAGUUAAACAGUACGUGAAAUUGUCAAAAGGGAAGCGUUUGACACCAGUGUUGUUUUUCCGAAAAUCAAUUACGAAUGUUUUGUUUUUGAGGAGUUAUGACUUCAUCGGCUUGCUUCUCUCUUUAUCGAAACUUUCUUAAUGCACUUUUCGGUUAACAAGUCAACAUCAAUUUCUUUUGUUGUAAAAGGGUAUGAGGAAGGUGGCUUUCUUUUCGGAGAAAGUGUUUAUAGCCUUGUGCCUCUGCAAUCGGAGAGAUUGAGGUCUGCAGGCGUAGAUCCUUCGGGGUUAGAUACGUUUGUGCUAAGUUAUAGCUUUUCAUAGACAACUUGUUGACUAUGUUUAGUCUUGUAGCUUACUCGCUGACGCUAUUUUACCUACGCUUAGGAUGUUGAGUAGCGACAUACGCAC
RNAcentral lists this ribosomal RNA (776 nucleotides) under uncultured Neocallimastigales. RNAcentral's name for it is "partial large subunit ribosomal RNA". It matches the Rfam family "Eukaryotic large subunit ribosomal RNA", at positions 19 to 649 of the family's 3401-position model. The record is from RNAcentral. Lineage: Eukaryota; Fungi; Neocallimastigomycota; Neocallimastigomycetes; Neocallimastigales.